UUGCUCGUCGACACUUGCAAUCGGCCUCCCGCAGCACUCGGCACCCGAUUUGGCCCGAUCUCGCAGUUGCGCUCCAACAGCGCGUUGCUUCGCAGCCCUGAAAAUUAUAGGUCUUCGGUUAUGUGCCACGGUACUCCAAAUCCAUUUUCACGAUUUUACGACGUCGCAUCGGCCCUCCAGGCAGAAAUGAAGCUAAAUUGCUUGUUUCUUCAAUAUCUUUAUAACGGCUCGUCGGAUUGUCGAACCGACUUCGCU
This 255-nucleotide long non-coding RNA is filed under the name Ananas comosus (pineapple). RNAcentral describes it as "long non-coding RNA (ACOM_LNC007069)". Lineage: Eukaryota; Viridiplantae; Streptophyta; Magnoliopsida; Poales; Bromeliaceae. The record is from RNAcentral.